Molecule: non-coding RNA, 30 nt
Filed under: Mus musculus (house mouse)
Lineage: Eukaryota; Metazoa; Chordata; Mammalia; Rodentia; Muridae
Source: RNAcentral
UACAAAGCAUGGUGGUCUGUGCAUAGGGAA